Molecule: small nucleolar RNA, 136 nt
Filed under: Aotus nancymaae (Ma's night monkey)
Lineage: Eukaryota; Metazoa; Chordata; Mammalia; Primates; Aotidae
Description: Small nucleolar RNA SNORA42/SNORA80 family (ENSANAG00000004304.1)
Rfam family: Small nucleolar RNA SNORA42/SNORA80 family
About the family: The members of this family belong to the H/ACA class of snoRNAs that guide the sites of modification of uridines to pseudouridines. Human ACA42 (SNORA42) was cloned from HeLa cells by immunoprecipitation with anti-GAR1 antibody.
Source: Rfam by way of RNAcentral
GCGUGGGUUUGGAUUUAUGACAGGCCCGUCCCCCUGGGCCUGUCAUAGUAACCCAUGCCAGAGCAAACUGUGUCCCCAAACCAUUGCCUGGCCUCUGUGCCCGUAGGCUGCUGGCACUGAAGUGGCUUGCACAGUG